AUGAAGCUAGAUACCCG
Molecule: microRNA, 17 nt
Filed under: Macrophomina phaseolina MS6
Lineage: Eukaryota; Fungi; Ascomycota; Dothideomycetes; Botryosphaeriales; Botryosphaeriaceae
Description: miR-9*
Source: RNAcentral